This 743-nucleotide long non-coding RNA is filed under the name Dermacentor andersoni. RNAcentral describes it as "uncharacterized LOC126544881". Lineage: Eukaryota; Metazoa; Arthropoda; Arachnida; Ixodida; Ixodidae. The record is from RNAcentral.
UUAAGUGCAGAAUUUUUUUGCGCGUUAUGAAAACAAUGCACUGCAGGUAUUUUAAUUAAUGCAACGAGCUGUAUGAAAUAUCGGUCAAGGGGUUGGAAACGUCGUUAUAGAGAAUCCCGACGAUUUUUCUUUUGCGUGUGUGUAUUUGGAGUUGAUUCACAGUUUUAUUUGUUUAUUUUGGCUACAUUGCGCCAAUUGCGCUUCCAUAGAAUAAAGAAACGCGCUUCCACGCGCUUGCCGACUCGAUCGCAAGGGGACAGCCUGAUCAACAUCAAUAUCAGCAGCAAUGGCGGAUUUGCGCUUGCCAUGGCGCUUGCAAAGUUUUCAAUAGUUUUCGACUAUUAAGUGAUGCUUUUGCUAUUUUAACGUGUGGAGGUUCAUUGUACGUCUGUUUUUUCAAGUUUGGCAUGUGUUUUAACACAUGUGAAGGUGUAGUCUUUUCUUCUUCAGCGGAUAUUUGUACAAGACCCCGUUCACCGUCUAUCAGCUCUAGCUCGGCAAGAAUAAAGCGGUUCCUUAGAAGUGGUGGAGGUGCUGGGGUUCUGCAUACCAAGGACGUAUAAGGUCACAAAGCUGCACCCAGGUAGAGGCAGAAUCCAAAAAUGCUUGUGUACUUCAACUAUAGCUGCACAUUACAGAAUCCGAGGCCCUCAAGAUUUAUCCGUAGCCCUCGUGUAGCCCACGAGUUCCAUAUUUUUUAUUGGGAUUGAAGAGUAACGUUUGUGCUGUAUCCCUCUAUUUCA